UACGUAGGGAGCAAGCGUUGUCCGGAAUCAUUGGGCGUAAAGAGCGCGUAGGUGGCUUCGUAAGUCCGUUGUGAAAGUCAAAGGCUCAACCUUUGAAAGCCGAUGGAUACUGCGGAGCUAGAGUACGGAAGAGGCGAGUGGAAUUCCUGGUGUAGCGGUGGAAUGCGCAGAUAUCAGGAGGAACACCAAUAGCGAAGGCAGCUCGCUGGGACGUUACUGACACUGAGGCGCGAAAGCGUGGGGAGCGAACAGG
RNAcentral lists this ribosomal RNA (253 nucleotides) under uncultured bacterium. RNAcentral's name for it is "partial 16S ribosomal RNA". It matches the Rfam family "Bacterial small subunit ribosomal RNA", at positions 524 to 776 of the family's 1533-position model. The record is from RNAcentral.